RNAcentral lists this ribosomal RNA (748 nucleotides) under uncultured soil bacterium. RNAcentral describes it as "bacterial SSU rRNA". It matches the Rfam family "Bacterial small subunit ribosomal RNA", at positions 28 to 758 of the family's 1533-position model. The record is from RNAcentral.
AUUGAACGCUGGCGGCAUGCUUUACACAUGCAAGUCGAGCGGCAGCGCGGGGUUCGGGCAACUGAGCUUUGGCGGCGAGCGGCGGACGGGUGAGUAAUGCAUCGGAACGUAUCCCGUAGUGGGGGACAACCCAGCGAAAGCUGGGCUAAUACCGCAUAUGCUCUACGGAGGAAAGCAGGGGACCUGAAAGGGCCUUGUGCUAUGGGAGCGGCCGAUGUCCGAUUAGCUAGCUGGUGGGGUAAAGGCUUACCAAGGCGACGAUCGGUAGCUGGUCUGAGAGGAUGAUCAGCCACACUGGGACUGAGACACGGCCCAGACUCCUACGGGAGGCAGCAGUGGGGAAUUUUGGACAAUGGGGGCAACCCUGAUCCAGCCAUGCCGCGUGCGGGAAGAAGGCCUUCGGGUUGUAAACCGCUUUUGGUCGGGAAGAAAGGGUGUGUCCUAACAGGGCGCAUUUUUGACGGUACCGGCAGAAUAAGCACCGGCUAACUACGUGCCAGCAGCCGCGGUAAUACGUAGGGUGCAAGCGUUAAUCGGAAUUACUGGGCGUAAAGCGUGCGCAGGCGGUAAGUUAAGUCUGAUGUGAAAGCCCCGGGCUCAACCUGGGAAUGGCAUUGGAAACUGGCUUGCUAGAGUGUGGCAGAGGGGGGUGGAAUUCCGCGUGUAGCAGUGAAAUGCGUAGAGAUGCGGAGGAACACCGAUGGCGAAGGCAGCCCCCUGGGCCAACCACUGACGCUCAGGCACGAAA